This 778-nucleotide ribosomal RNA is filed under the name uncultured Neocallimastigales. RNAcentral describes it as "partial large subunit ribosomal RNA". It matches the Rfam family "Eukaryotic large subunit ribosomal RNA", at positions 20 to 645 of the family's 3401-position model. The record is from RNAcentral. Lineage: Eukaryota; Fungi; Neocallimastigomycota; Neocallimastigomycetes; Neocallimastigales.
CAUCACUACGCUAGAUGCAUAUCAAUAAGCGGAGGAAAAGAAACUAACAAGGAUUCCCUUAGUAACGGCGAGUGAAGCGGGAAGAGCUCAAAUUUGAAAUCUUCAAGGUUUUACCUUGACGAAUUGUAGUUUAAAGAAGUGUUUUCUGUUGAAGUUUCGGUAAAAGUUCUUUGGAAUAGGACAUCAUAGAGGGUGAGAAUCCCGUAUUUGACCGUUAUUUUCAGCUGUGUGAUACACUUUCAGAGAGUCGGAUUGUUUGGGGAUGCAGUCCAAAAUGGGUGGUAAAUUUCAUCUAAAGCUAAAUAUUGGCGAGAGACCGAUAGCGAACAAGUACCGUGAGGGAAAGAUGAAAAGAACUUUGAAGAGAGAGUUAAACAGUACGUGAAAUUGUCAAAAGGGAAGCGUUUGACACCAGUGUUGUUUUCUCGAAAAUCAAUUACGAAUGUUUCGUUUUUAAGAAGUUAUGACUUCAUCGGCUUGCUUCUUUCUUUACGAAACUUUCUUAAUGCACUUUUCGGUUAACAAGUCAACAUCAAUUUCUUUUGUUGUAAAAGGGUAUGAGGAAGGUGGCUUUCUUUUCGGAGAAAGUGUUUAUAGCCUUGUAGCCUCUGCAAUCGGAGAGAUUGAGGUCUGCAGCGUAGAUCCUUCGGGGUUAGAUACAUUUGUGCUAAGUUAUAGCUUGUCAUAGACAACAUUGUUGACUAUGUUAAGUCAUUGUAGCUUACUCGCUUAGUGCUAUUUUACCUACGCUUAGGAUGUUGACGAGACUGUCGAUCUC